Rosa rugosa (rugosa rose) is the source of this 1903-nucleotide long non-coding RNA. RefSeq lists it as uncharacterized. The transcript is spliced from 7 exons. The record is from RefSeq and is a predicted model, not a curated record. NCBI's taxonomy places the organism in Eukaryota, Viridiplantae, Streptophyta, Magnoliopsida, Rosales, Rosaceae.
AUUUUGAAAAAAAUGCGGAGGGACUAAGUUAAAAAUUUUAGAAACGCGGGGGGACUAAACUUUCAUUCCCUCCAACACUUAAACUUUUUUCCCUUUCUCUGAAACUUUCGAACCCUAAUUACUAACUCUCACUCCUUCCAAACCCUACUCCCUCUCUCUCCCUCUCUAGUUUCACAGGUAGCUAGCUCACACAAAUCGAGCCAUGGCUCCUCCCAGUAUUCUCGGUCCUCCGGAGUUCCACAAACCCUCACCCACCACCACCGCUCCGCCGCCACCCUAACCCAAAUCCAAACCCACCACCGGCGAACCCUUCGUGGACCUGAUGGUGGCGAAUUUCAACGACGUCGGAACCAAGCAUGACCUCCUAAUGGGCCUGACGGAGAACGACUCUGCCAUGUUUCUCUCCACCGGCAACCUCUGCCUCGAUCUCUUCUUCCACAUCAUCCCGAACACUCCAGGCGACUACCUCACCGAUGGGACUCCAAUGGUAGCCAGUGUCGUGUCAUUGGCUUCUUCCUUUAUCGCAGUCACUUUAUCUUCUUGACCUUCAUAUUCUUCUUCGUUUUUAACAAAACUAAGGCACGCGCCGAGUCUGUGACUUUGUUUUGCAGUCUCGCCCUUGAGAGGGAAGAAGCACAUGGCUCACACAAUUGCUCGCGCCACUCUGGGCCUCACUCAGAUUUCUCCGGUCUUUGAAGCCCCAAAGCUCACUUUCGCGACGAAAGAGAUUGAUGUAACGGAUUGGGUGGGGUGUUGGCUGAGGUCUGUCUGAGGAGGACUUCACACCAAAGUCUGGCCAGUCAACGGUUGUUAGGCUUCCUGGUCUUGGCUCGAAGAGGGUUGGCUUGUUUGGGCUUGGACAAUUUGCUUCGUCUACAGAAGCUUUUAAGGGUCUUGGGGAGGCUGCUGCAGCAGCGGCAAAGACUGCUCAAGCAAGUGAUAUUGCUAUUGUGCUUGCUUCCUCGGAGGGGCUUUCUGCGAAAUCUUGCAAAGCUUCUGCGAUAGCAUCUGGAGCUGUUUUGGGUAUAUAUGAAGACAAUAGGUAUAAAUCUGAGUCAAAGAAAUCAGCUCUCAAGUCUGUGGACAUUCUUGGUCUUGGAACUGGCCUGAACUUGAGAAGAAGCUCAAGUAUGCUCAAGAUGUUGCUUCUGGAAUAAUAUUUGGGAAAGAGCUCACGAAUUCACCUGCCAAUGUUCUCACACCUGGGAAACUAGCAGAAGAGGCCUCAAAAAUUGCUUCCUUAUAUAGUGAUGUUCUAUCUACAUAAAUAUUGAAUGAAGAGCAAUGCAAAUUGAAAUCGCUUGGUGAUUGUAUUCAGAUAUUCUUCUUCUUCAAUUCAUCAAUUGCCCCACCUCCUUUAAUUCACAUAUUUCACUAUGACAGAACAAAUGGAGGACUUUGAGAUUUCAAACCACUGAGCUUCUCUCUAUUUUGCUUCAAUACCAAAAAUCUACUUUCUCUUGGUUGGAGUGGUGUCGAAGAGUGAGGCUAUUCAAAUGGUCGAUGAGGCAGACCUUGAUUUGUGUGAUUAUGAUGGUCUGCAAUUAUCAACUAGCCCAUUUAUAGAGAGGAAUAUGGAAUUUCUUAUUGAGUGCAUGGAUGAUUUGUCAAUGGAACAGCAGAAUGUAUAUCUUCUCUUGACCUGAAAUUGACGAGGUGCGCAUUGAAGUGGCUGAUUAUAUGCAGAGUUUGGUGUAGGACUUUUGGCUACUAACAUGAUUUUGAGUAAGGCUAGUUUUUUGCUUUGAAGGAAAGUUUGGUGUAUGUAGAACUGAUGUAGUUGGUUGCUAAUAUGUUUAUGGGCUAGCCUUUGUAGGUUUUGGGGUUUUAUUUUGUGAAUUAUGUAGAAUCAUGAAUGAAGAUGAGAAAAUUAAUGGAAAGUCCCAAUUUUUGGAUGAUGAAA